Paramuricea clavata is the source of this 270-nucleotide non-coding RNA. The record is from the annotation of a GenBank genome assembly. NCBI's taxonomy places the organism in Eukaryota, Metazoa, Cnidaria, Anthozoa, Malacalcyonacea, Plexauridae.
ACACGAACUUUUAUCGCUGGAUAAUUUUGCGAUUUUUCAUCCAAUUCAAUCAUAUAUAUGCUCAAAAUCUUCGCGAUAAGUUUCUCUUUACCAUAAAAUUUGACCGAAUAAGUUUCGAAACAAUGCGACGGCAAGAAAUACAAAAAUCCUGAUUUUCGUAAUAGAAUCAAUAGUCUUUUUGCCCUGUUGUACCGCCAUCUUGGAUUUAUCAUGUGGGCCCCGCCUGCGCUAGGUAUGCGUUAGCAAUCUAGAUCUCCUAUAUCUAUGGUG